AUGGGAGAGGAAGAAGCAGGCUCCCAGCAGAGAAGCCUGAUAUGGGGCUCGAUCCCAGAACGUCAGGAUCACGCCCUGAGCGGAAGGCAGACGCUUAAUGACUGCGCCAUCCAGGCGCCCCUGCAUGGUUUUUUUCUAAUAUUGUCCUCACUGAAAGAAGCUCAGACCAAAGAACAGAAAAGAAGUUUAAUAAGUGGUUCCUAUGGAGAAACUGAUGCUUGAUCUACCCAGUUACCUCUGUGUUCAGUUACUGAUGGUCUGUUGCAACUUGACAGAACCGAGAAGGGGUGACAUGCCAAGCAGCCAUGUAGGAGCCCGUGUGGAAGAGGACAAAACCCCAAUCUGCUCAUGAGUCUGAGCCACUCCCUCAAGACGAAGGUCAGAAACAAAGCAGGUACUGGACACAGUGGCCAGUUUCAGGUGCUUUGUGGACAUAUCUAAAACGAGUUAAUUGAGAAGAAACUUCACAUGAUAUUUUCCCCAGUGAGAACAUCCUGAAUUUUUGCUUUUUUUUUUUUUUUUUUUUUUUUUUUUUUAAAGAUUUUUUAUUUAUUUAUUUAACAGAGAGAGAGACAGCCAGAGAGAGAGGGAACACAAGCAGGGGGAGUGGGAGAGGAAGAAGCAGGCUCAUAGCGGAAGAGCCUGACGUGGGGCUCGAUCCCAGAACUCCGGGAUCACGCCCUGAGCCAAAGGCAGACGCUUAACCGCUGUGCCACCCAGGCGCCCCUGAAUUUUAGCUUCUUAAGCUGUUAAGAAGUUAAUGGAUUUUGGGAAUUUUUAUUGUUAAAUAUUCCAGAUAGCUAAUCUCUAAUCAUCAGAUGUCAUAGAAUCUGGUAAAAUUUAUUUGAAUUUUACAACUUAAAAUGCUAACUUUUAAAAAAUAGAACAUAUUGUGUGAUAUAUAAGGCAUAAGUAUUCAAUGUGGUGAAACUUGUUUAAAUUUCUAUUUUCAGAUUUGGGAGGCUACAAUCAAGGUCAUUUGAGAAGUGGGACCCAGUGCAUUACCAUUACCUGCGGGUGUCCACAAAGAAAUUUACCGACGUGGGAAAGGCUAGAUAAUGAGAAUGCUCCAUAAGGAGGCACUGAAUUUCACCAGGGAGAAAUGCAUCUAAGUUGCUUCACAAACGUUAAGAAAUAUAUCUACGUAAUUGUAUGUUGCAUUUUCCGUGGUCUUUGCUUUGUUCAUUUCAUGUGCAGUGAUUAAAAAGAGAUAUUGUACAUUUUAUUAUCUCUUAUGUUUUCCAAUAAAUACAAACCUGGAGUGCUUUUUUUUUUCUUUUUCAUUCUUCUCAGAGGUGUGGUGAACACUGAAUAAGAUAAUAAUUUUGAAAUACUAAUGUCUUGUCCGUUUGGGCAGCUGUAACAAAAUACCACAGACUGAGUGGCUUAUGGAUAAUAGAAAUUUAUUUCUCAGAGUUCUAGAGGCCAGAAGUCUGAAAUCAGGGCUGGCAUGUCAGGUGAGAGCUCUCUUUCGGGUUACAGAUUUCUUGUAUCCUCAGGAGCCCUUUUUAUAAUCACCUUCCAAAGGCCCCACCUCCUAAUACCAUCACUUUUAGGGGUAAGAAUUUGACGUAUGAAUUUUGGGAGGACACACUCUGUGAGA
RNAcentral lists this long non-coding RNA (1603 nucleotides) under Ursus thibetanus thibetanus. RNAcentral describes it as "lncRNA (ENSUTTG00000003716.1)". The record is from RNAcentral. Lineage: Eukaryota; Metazoa; Chordata; Mammalia; Carnivora; Ursidae.